This 57-nucleotide ribosomal RNA is filed under the name Peptostreptococcus anaerobius CAG:621. The record is from RNAcentral. Lineage: Bacteria; Bacillati; Bacillota; Clostridia; Peptostreptococcales; Peptostreptococcaceae.
UGUGGUUACUAUAGCAAAGAGGAUACACCUGUUCCCAUUCCGAACACAGAAGUUAAG